Populus trichocarpa (black cottonwood) is the source of this 2896-nucleotide long non-coding RNA. RefSeq lists it as uncharacterized. The transcript has 4 exons. The record is from RefSeq and is a predicted model, not a curated record. NCBI's taxonomy places the organism in Eukaryota, Viridiplantae, Streptophyta, Magnoliopsida, Malpighiales, Salicaceae.
AUCGAAAAUUGAGGUUGAAGCUCAGUUUCAAGAAAAACUUCUCAGACCAGCUUGCGGGUGUUCUUACCUCAAUUUUUUUUCCCUCCAUCGACAAGAGAGAAAUAGCUGUUGCAAAAAGAACUUUCCAAAAUAACCCUCAUCUUUAUAUCAUGCCACCCUUUACCUUGCAAUAGUUUUCGACUGGGCAUUUGCAAAUCCAUCUUCUCUCUAGUAAUCAUUCGUCGCUUGUCUUCUUCGAUCCUCUCCUCUCCUCUCCUCUCAAAAUUAAUCUUCUUUCCUUCUUUUUUCUCUUUUAAAAAACUAUUACUUGUCCAACAUUGAACAUGCCCGAUUCUUUUCUCUAAGAAGCUAUCUACAGAUUUGUGUUGUUUGUGGAGGCUCAAUAACAAGAAUAGCCCGAAAACUACAAAGAACAAACAGAACAGGUGUUGUGAAGUAGGUAAUGUAGUUGCUUCUUUACAAAUCUUUAGCUGAAUAUCUAUUUUAAUUACACUAAAUUGAAACUUAGGGUGUUGUCGAUUGAGUUAUUUACAUUAUAUUUUAGGCUAAAUCUUUAACAUAUCAAUCAUUGCAACAAGCUAAUGUUCAAACUUGAUUCAUUUAUAGAAUUGAUUUUUUCAUCUCAUCAAAAACCAGAAUUUUAUUUCAUUUUAUCCAUGCUAAGAUUCAAAGUAAGAACAUUGAUAAGUGACAGAGGUUGCGGGCAACAUGCUCUAUUUCCAUACUCACUGUAGACCUCUAGUUUUAAUGUUAUGGUGUCCUGGACCUACCCCGUGAGUGUGUAGGACAACAAAUGGGCUUAACAUGAGCUCAUUGUCACACAUUUCGAAUGGAUUGUGAACUUUUUUAGUCCCUGCCCCUCGCUGCAUAUUGUGGUUAGUCAACUUGUGUUUCAUUACUUGUAACUAAUGGCUAAGAGAUUGGGUCUGAAAGAAACGAAUGUGAUAUUUAAAUUGCUCACAUGUUUGUCAUACAAGGAAAACUAAAGCAAGAACAAGAAGGGAUCAGUUUGAAUAUGCUUGUGCAUUAUUGGAUAUCAUCUGCUUUUGAAACACAUAUUUAUGAGUGUUGGCCCACAACAAAAUAUGAUUAUAACUAAGGUAAUUCAGGUUCACCAUUCGUUAAACUUUGUUGCAGCUACUAGGGAUGAUUGCUCCUUUAAUUUUGGUGGUCUUUGUUGACUCGUGACUAGUGAGGAGCCAGACAUGUCAUAAUCAUGGAUUAAUAAAGCUAAGAAAUCAUCAACUCACAAGGAGCUUUUCGAAUUAGUCAUUGCUCAUUAAUGAAACUGUAGAAUUAUAUAAUCACUGGUGUAUCUUAUACAGCUUUUGCAUGUUAAGAAAUCAUCAACUCACAAGGAGCUUUUCGAAUUAGUCAUUGCUCAUUAAUGAAACUGUAGAAUUAUAUAAUCACUGGUGUAUCUUAUACAGCUUUUGCAUGUUGUGUUAUUGUUGUUUUGUUCUUUUUAAGAGGGAAAGGGCUCGGUUCCAUAACAAAGGCAUAUUAUAUGGUCUGCAGUUCUUACUUAGUUAAUGUUAUUAUUUGUUGUUAGUGUUUAAUCUUACAGCUAAUGCUUAAAUUCUUGUCUAAACAAAAUGGCAUUGGUUGUUUGCUUUCAAAUAUGUUAUCGAACUAGGAAUGAAAGGUCCUUAAAUUAUGGAUAAAGUUACUUGGACUGAGGAAUUGUUGCAUAUCUUUUGUGAUAUUUACAUCAAGACCAUCAACAUGGGAAUGAGACCAAAUACUCAUUUCAAUAAAGCUGGUUGGAAAUCUCUAUUGACAUCCUUCAAAGAACAAAUUGGUCAUGCAUUCACCAAGGCAUAACUGAAGAACAAAUGAGAUGGCUACAAAAAGGAUUGGAGGAUGUGGACAGAGUUGAUUUCUGAAAUUUCUGAAACUAGUGUUGGUUGGAGUAGCAAAUUAGCAACUAUCUCUAUGAGUGAUGAGUGGUGGAAAACAAAAAUUCAGGAAAUAAGAGAAGCAAAAAAGUCUAGGCAUGCUGGUAUCGAACCAUCUUUAUGGUUUAAGUUUUCUCAAACAUUGUUGCUACUAGACAGUAUGCGUGGGCACCAUCUUCCAAAGUCUUGUGUGAUGAUGAUGCUGGUGAUGAUGGCAAUCACAAUGCCAAUGUUGAUAAGCCUGAUUUGGAAGAAGAAAGCAGUGAUUCUGAGGAGGAUGGCAUUCCAAAUUUUACGGAUGAUAUUUGUAACAUGGUUGGUGGGGUUAAAAUGUCCAGCAAAAGUAACACACGUAUCUGUGGCAAGAGAAAAUAAAAAAGAAUAUUUUAAGGUUCAAGAUAGGAAAAAAGCCAUAGAAAAUCGGAUUACAGCUGCUGUCAUGUUGGGAUUAACUAGUUGACAGCAUGUCCACCAAGAGUGAUUCAACAUCUGUUAGCAUGGAUAGGAAAUGGUGUAAUAUUCUUGAGGUUAUGACAGAGCUUCACUUCAUUGAAGAAGUUACCAUAGGAGAUGAAUUUCAUGGCUUUGCUAUUGAGUAUUUGAGUUUAAGACGGAUGAGAGAAAUGUGGGCAAGUAUAGGAGAUCUUGAAAAGAAGCUUAAAUGGAUACAAAGAAUGUAUGAGCGAAUAAACCUGUUUAGAUCGAGAGGUUAAUAUGGUGGCUGUGUUGACAAGAUGAUUGCUAAUAUCAUGAUUCCUUCAUGUUAGUCUAAAAUUCUGUAAUUUGACAGUUAAAUCCAUCAAUUGUUGGCAGCUGCAUUCGGUUAAGUUUUAGUGCAUUAGGAUUUAUCAUGUGAAAUUAUAGAAGGUAGAUUAGUUAGUUAAAUCCUUUAUGUGUUUGCCAAUUGUUGAGUAUGAUGAGUUUGUUAGUUGUUAACAUGUAAUUUAUGAGAAUAAUUGUGAAAAAUUUCUAUGUUAUUUGUCCUUGCCGAUUAUAAA